RNAcentral lists this ribosomal RNA (245 nucleotides) under uncultured Actinomadura sp. RNAcentral's name for it is "partial 16S ribosomal RNA". It matches the Rfam family "Bacterial small subunit ribosomal RNA", at positions 524 to 768 of the family's 1533-position model. The record is from RNAcentral. Lineage: Bacteria; Bacillati; Actinomycetota; Actinomycetes; Streptosporangiales; Thermomonosporaceae.
UACGUAGGGGGCAAGCGUUGUCCGGAUUUAUUGGGCGUAAAGAGCGUGUAGGCGGCCUGGUAGGUCAGCUGUGAAAACUCGAGGCUCAACCUCAAGAUGUCGGUUGAAACCACUUGGCUAGAGUCCGGAAGAGGAGAAUGGAAUUCCCGGUGUAGCGGUGAAAUGCGCAGAUAUCGGGAAGAACACCCGUGGCGAAGGCGGUUCUCUGGGACGGUACUGACGCUGAGACGCGAAAGCGUGGGGAG